Molecule: non-coding RNA, 5597 nt
Organism: Physcomitrium patens
Lineage: Eukaryota; Viridiplantae; Streptophyta; Bryopsida; Funariales; Funariaceae
Source: RefSeq, a predicted model, not a curated record
GUCAUGCUGGUUUCGCAGUCAUUCGACAGCUUUGAAUUCCUCACGAAGCAGGCGUACGUCAUUCGGUGUGAAAUUGAGUUCAAAUAUGGUCCAGUCAGUUUGUUUUAGUCAUGUUGUGUCCGGUACCUGCUAGGACAAUCGUUUGUGUUCCUCAAUUGAGGCACUUUGGAUUUCGAGUUUUGCUGAUUGUUUAUGUUGUGGAGAUUUCAUGAAGCUGGUUGUAUUUGUUUGCUGUGAAAUUCCAAUUAGGAUUUGAGUUUGGGUGGGACGCGGGUAGUUGUGGUGCUGGAAUGCUUAAGCGGGGAGCGGUUGUGUGGAUUUUAAAGCUUGUUGGAUUGGACAUUUUGUGUGAUCUGCUCAGCGCACUGGAGACGCGGUCCCGAAAAGGGCAAUUAUACAAUGCCUUUACCGUCUCCACAUUUGCGGAUUCUAGGCAGAACGUCACGUCUCUCGUCAAUUUGUUAUGGAGAUCGUCCAGGCAGCGCGAAGGACCUUCGGAUAGAGCAAUAUUGGGGUUGCGGUGUCCCAUGGGAUAAUAGGCGUUGUGAGAUGGAGAUUGGAUCAGUGACAGUAAAAUUGGAGGCAUGUCAGGAUUAGUGACCACGACCGAGAAGGGCUUAGAGAUAGUGAAGGCAGAGACGAUAACGAUGAGAGGGAAAGAGAGAAUUCUAGAAGUAGAUUCCAGUAGGGACAAGGAACAGAAAAAAGGGCUUGUAAGAGAACGGAGAAGUUGAGUGCGAGCAACAGAGGCUCAUGGAGAGCCUGGAGAAAUUACAACCUCAACUCAGAAGAAGAAUGGAGAAUUUGACUGAAGAGUUUAUCGGGAUUCGCAACCAAAAGCAACCAUAGAUUCUGGAAGCACUGGCUACGUCUUAGAUCAAAUUGUAUAGCCAGAGAAGUAGCACUAAUUCAAUUCUACAGUUUGAGACUGAGUGGACUCUACAACUUUACCACAAGCUUCAAAUUCACAAUCAGCGCCCCAUCCUCCGAUCAAGUUUGGUUUAAAUGCUCCUACCCAUGCACAUCAGCGUUCAUCUAGUAGUCCGUCCCCGCCCACGUCUCUUAAUCCAUCUCUUCUUAAUGCAGAUGCAAACGCAACGGGAUCUCCUUUAAGAGAAGAAUCCCAUGAAUCCUCCUGUUGCUCAGGUAGUGGGAAGGUUUUCCUCGAUUGCGAGUCUUUCCGAUCAGGUAAGGUCACAAGUAAGUUUGAGAGGGAAGAGUGUAGUGUCCCCUAGUCUGUGUGAUUGUGUGAUGGAUAAAAGGUCGGGGUCGUCGAGGUGAAGCAACUGAGGUCGAUUCAGAGCCAGAAGAAAACCUAGUCCAAAGCGAUCCUGAGUAUCGUGCAAUUGAUCUUUUUGAAAGGUCGUACAUCAGUUGAUGAAUUAUAAAAACUGAACAAGAUAGAUGAGGGAACUUAUGGAAUUUUGUUCCGUGCCAAAGAGUAGAAAACAGGGAAAUUCGUUUGAAGAAGGUAAAGACAGAGAAGGAAAAAGCACGAUUCCUAUGACUUCUUUCCGAGUAAUCAAUGUCUUGUUAUCAUUUCACCAUCCGUAGAUUGUCGACACUAAGGUAGUUAUUGUUGGGGUAAGUCAGGACCAUAUUUUCAUAGUUAUGGAGUUUAUGGAACAUGGCUUCAAGGGCCUGAUCAAGACCACGAAACAACCUUUUACCCAAAGUGAGGUUAAGUGCCUAAUUGUGGAAAUUAUUUGAUGGUGUUAAGUGCCUACACGAUAAUCGGGACUUGCACAGGGAUUUGAAAACAUCAAACCUUUCUUGAACAACCGCGGAGGACUCCAAAACCUGCGUCUUUGGUCUUGCGCGUCAAUAUGGAGAUCCUUUGAAGGAGUAUAUAAGUUAAGUUGUCCGGAGGUACUACUUAGAGUGAAACAGUAUUCAAGGGCGGUUGAUAUGUGGUCAUCAAGUUGUGCAAUGGCAGAGUUUCUUGCGAAGGAGCCCCUUCUUCCCAGAAAAUCACCCAUUCAUGAGAAAGAUAUGAUUUUUAAGACCUUGAGAAUUCCAAUUGAGAAGAUUUUGGCCUUAUUUUGAGAAGCAGCCUAGCGUAAGUUGUAAUUUUAUCACGCAGGCAAUUUAAGGAAAAUUUCCAGCAACAACUUUCGUGGAACGGCCAACUUUAUUUGAUUAAGGUUUCGAGUUUUUGAACUGGCUGCUCUCUUAAGAUCUUUCGAAGUAUAUUACAGCUGACCAAACCCUUAAUCAUGAUUAAUUUAAUGAGGUUUUUUUGCCAAAGGCCAAGCAGUUCAUUCCUGCGUUUCAAUCCCAAUGUGAGCAGGAUUUGUGAAUGUGGCGACACAUUCCCAGCCCUGAUCACUCGGAAGAACAAAGAAAGCAUGAGCUGAAAGGAGUGGAGCUUUGAGGCGAGGGGCUGUUUGGUUAGACAUGGUAAGCACUAGUGGUAAGAAAAUACAACCUUUUAACAGUGAUCAUAUGUUUCCAGUUGAAUUCUUCCUAUUCUCAUCCAUUGGAGGCUUUUUCAAGAACAGAAAAGUUCUAAAACUUGUUUUAACCUAUGUUUGAAUACUUGUUCAAUAGUUUUUAUCCUUGAAUUCGUAAUGUUUUUCCAUGAGGCAGAAUUGUUCAGCAUUUGAGCAAAAGCACACAAUUACCCCGUUUGGAUUUCGAAACCUCCUGAAUGGAUUUCAUGCAUGCUUGAAAUUUUUCCGGUGCUUUAAAUUGGACGGGAGGCAUGUAGAGUGGAAAUCUGUGUUCUGAUCGCUUUAGUGCGUCUGAGUUGUGGCUCCGUUUUUACGUGCUAUUAUCAACCGCCAUGAAGGCCGAAUUAUAGUUCGAUUCGAGAGGAACGGUCUUGUGCGUUUGGUGAUGUUGAGAACCAAGACCUCAUGCAUGGUCCAGUUGUGUCUACUCUGCAAGUUUCUGCGACACCUUCGUUUGCAUGCAUCGUUUGCAAGGAAUGAGCACGUCAUUUAUAAUGUAACUUCAGGCCUUUGCAAACGAAUGGGAUUAGCAGAGUGGUCAGUUGCAAGCAAGUAAUAAAUUUGUUCCUUAAUUAUGGAAGAUACCAGAUGAUUGUCAAGCCUUUACCAAGACUAAAACACGUGGAAUCUCAACUUCGUCUUCUCUGAGCGUGACCAAAUACCAUUUUCGAGGCUACAUUUUUCUCGAGCACAGGAAAGUAAAUGGUAAUCAUCUGCAAUCAUGUAAUUAGGGUCACCGUGGUCGUCGACAUCUCCAUCUAUCAGCCUAGGGUAUCUCUCACCGAAGAUUGAUGUCAGAAGCACCCUAUGAUACCACUUAUACACCGACCUACGAAAAUGAAAUGUCACUAUGCUUAAGCUCUACACAAGAGGGGUGGGUCAUAGUUGACGUGGAAAGGGAAACAUGAUCUAUGGGAGCACCCUUUUGGUAAGCGUUUGAGUAAACAAUGAGGCGAGGAGGCCUUAGUAACAACUCAGCAGUUGCAUGGAGACACAGAGGCGAUGCAAUCCGGAGAUCCGUGCAUUUUGAACGGUGGUGGGAAGCGCACAAAUUUGGAAGAUUAACGUCAAUAGCGGUUUGCAGCAUGAUUAUCUCAAUUAUCAUAUUGAUUUCACGACCUAUGAGUUUGUCAGGACCUGAUCUAUCCGAUAACCUUCAGUCAAGCACGCAUGGCGUUGUGUUCCCAUUAUACCACUACACAUAUUUUCCAAAUGACAGUGCUGAAAUGGGAGGCCGUGAAAUGUGGUAUGGCGGCAGGGGAGCAAUUAGAAGGGAGAUUCGCGAAGAGUCUAAUUUAUUAUUGAAUAUCCUUGGUGGAUAUUCAUCAAAUCAUAUAGACAUAGGGCACUUCUACAUUGAAAUGAAACUGGGUUUCCCUCCUACAAGUUAUCACUUUCACGUCGACACUGGGAGUGGACACACGUGGGUAUACUGCAAUCCUCGGAACUAUAUGUUGGAACUUUCUUAUUGGGGACCCCAUGGAUUGUUUGUGCCUGAAGAUUACUCUUACUUGAAGUGCAUAGGGGAAACAGCGAGUUUAUGUGAAGCAGUUCAAAAUGGAAUAGAACCGUGUAAUAGUGAUAACAAGUAUCUGUGCGUAUUUAUUGCUCAUUAUGCAGAUAAUUCUUAUUAUUCAGGUGUUUUUGUCCAUGGAAACUUUACAGUGCCGCUGCAAGACAAAAGUGAAGCGAACGUGUUGGGUUUAUUAGGUUGUGUAGUUUCGAAGGUGCUUCAAGGCUCUGAACAAGUCCCGUUGAUUACCGACGGCCUUAUUGGUCUCGGCAAUUGCAAGGGGACUCUUAUGGAACACUGGUCAAAGAGCAACGUUAUCAGCCAGAAUGUACUUGCUGUUUGUUUGGCAAAAGAAUUGGAGCGGAACACUACAAUUAGUCCAGCAACUCCUAGGGGCUUCAUCUCCCUCGGCAACGACUUCAAAGAGCAGUUUGACCGUAAUUCGGUUUGGUCAAAAUUGGCAGAUGCAGAAAGCGGUGUUUUAUGCGGAUAUGCUGCAAAACUACUAUCAAUUUCAUUUCACGACAAAGCUUUAGUCUUCAGCUCAAGAUUUGCUCGGCAGUCCAUUGGAAUCUCGCUGCUUUUUGACACCGGGAGCGACAUGACGUAUUUUGAUGCAGUUUUCUACGACCCACUUUUAAGGAUGCUUGAGGACUAUGCAACGCUUAGAGGAUACAUUAGAGUGGAAGACAAUGAUAAAUACGUUGUUAAUGAGCAAAGAGUAUGCUGGGAACCCCCUCGGAAGACGAUGGUUCAGGCUGCCGGUGAAUUUAGUACAGUAUUGUGCUGGACGAGGCCACACAGGAUGAAUCUUCCUUUGCAGCUAAAUGUGGUUAAAGUCUACAGACUGGAGGAUCACCAAUUCAAGACUUUCUGCCCCUUGUCUUGGCAUUCGAGGGGAUACCUAGCACCACGGAGUCAGCUCCUCUUCAGUAUCUCGUUGUGCAUCCAGAAAACUAUUUGUCUUGGGACGCACAAGUGAAAAAGCUUUGUGUGAACAUCCUUCAAGACUACAGUGUUGGAACUUCAGUAUCUAACCUUGGGGCUGAUAUGAUGAGAGAACAUCUCUUCGUCUUUGAUUAUGAGAAACAGAGAGUUCGAUGGCAAUCAAAUAGCUGCGCGUUGUAAUGGUUGAAUUGGUUCACUUGAAUUUGGACUUUCUGGCUUUCGUUCUUGCUCCAGUGUUUAGUUUGCGCAACUCCAGACAUAACUGAACUGAACAAAUCGAAAAUGGAGAUUCUUAGUCUCGUUCACUCAUGUUGUUCGAUUUUGUAUGAGAUUUCAGUGACGACCUGCAGCUACAUUCCAGCUUCAAUCAGAUGCAGCUACAACAACCAGAGAGUUCCUCGAUGAAGAAUUUUAUUCCGUAUAGAAGAGGAAAUUUUCAUAAGCCACUGAUUAGUCCAUCAUUUUGGUUUAACGAGAUGUGAUGGCAACACUCCCUUUGUGAAGUAUGAAUUCCAAACGGUACCUAAUCUUCAUAGAUGCAGAUUCUUUUUAGAUCGUACUUUGAUGUUAGCUUGAAUUUUUUAUGCAAACAUUUCUAUUUCCCAUUGUGCGGUUUGGUGCUAGUAUGCAUACUUGUCUGUUUCGUGACUGGAUUAUUCUGAAUCAAUGCACCUUGUUCCAAA